GGUCUUGCUCCCCAAAAUCCAUCCCUUCUCUUCUUUGGUCCAAUCUGGAUUGUUAAUUCCGUCAAGAGGUGUGAGUCAUCGUUUUACUGGAUGCUCUCUCGAUCAUUUCUUCAUAUGCAUUUUGUGGGUAGCAAAAUGUUCUCUUUGUAUGGAUUUGAAAAAGGACCAAAUCUUACGAAAUACUUCUUAAAUAGGAUGUGCGAUUUUGAUAGUAUUUUCUAUGAAUUUUGGGAAAAUUUAUGUUAUAUAGCAUGCUUUAUUAAUUCUUUUAGCUCAAGAUAGCUCCCUUGGUGAUUCUUUUCAAUGAAGGACUUGCUCUCCAGCAUGUGGUUUGGUAUUUCUUGACUGCAAGUAUUCAGCAGCCACAACUGAACUGAAGAUCAGCAAGUAUUUAAGCAACACAUAUGUUUGGUUUGCAUGUGUUAUAACCAGAUCAACGAAGUUUCUGCACAUCAUGAGUAAGAGGUGAAGAAAUCAUGUUUGCAAAUGGCCAUCGAUUAAACUGCAGUAUUUUCCAUGAACUGUGGUAACUCUUGCCUAGAAAAACUGCAUGAGAAAAAGUCUUGCUUCAGGUGAAUUUUUGCGUUAUCAUCUUUUGUACAGGUUGAAACUAUCAAGUGUUAACUUUUGUGGUUUGUUAACAAGACUGUUCAUCAUAUCCACUUGUGCACGUACCAUAGCCAGAGUCACUUAUUCGGCAUGGUUUUAUACUGGAAUUAACCACAUAACUAAUUUUGUUUUACCACCUUGACGCCUUCAGUUACAUAGAGCUUCUGUCAAUGCCCAACCGAUAAUGAACAAGUACAAUUUUAUAGAUGGUUCAAGUGAAGUUGUGCAAAGUGAAUCAAUUCUGCAAGAUACCAUGCCAUACAUUUUUCCUUGGUAGCAUUAACAUGUAUAGAUCAUUUUAUUGUGUACAACAAAGUCAACAAUACAUGUUUGUAUAACCAUGGCUUUGGUCAAUUUCUGCCAUCGAGCUUCUGCGAAAAUGUGACCAGGAACUAAUUAUGUCGUAAUUCAGUAUAGAACCUGACACUAAAUAAUACUCCCUUCGUUCACUAAUGUAAGACCUUUUAGCUUUUUCUUGAUCGGUUUCUCUUCUUCAGUUGUUGGCUGCCCGUGCAACAAUUUUUCUUGAACCAAGUACUUUGCACUAUAUUUUGAACUUUCUAAUUUUGUUCCGUGACAUGUUUUUGCAGCCUUCCAUUCAAAAUUAGAUCUGGAGGCCUUCGGAUAGCAAUAAAUUUUACCUUUGUUUGUUCAUGCUUCAUGAAUUUGUUUUCCAACUGAUUAUUUGUUGUUGCAAAUUUCAGAUUUUGACAGGUUUGGGUCCAUCUAUAACAUGCUUGACUGGGCGAUCACGUGGCUAUCGAGCACUCUUAUUUUCUGGUCAUAAGCUCUUACUAAGAUGUUGUCGGUCGGGUGCCCUCUACUACUGAAGUUUUACCACGAUCUGGUGGUGCUUGAGAGCAGAGACGACAUACUUUCAUCAGCAGUGGCCAAACCCCCACCGCCGCCGGUGCUGUACACCCCUGUACCCCUCGACAUCCAGUGCCUCGCGUCUGCCCAACAUGAAAACCUCCUCAAUAGGAUAGUGCCCUUUAUGUGCAUGAACUAAUGGGUGUGUUCACAACAUAGAGCAGCUUCUCCAUCCAGUCUCAUGUCUUUCUCUUUAGCAGGGAUCAGUGAGUACUACCGAGCAAAAAAGUCCUUCUCUUCGUCAUAUUUCUUCCUUUUCCUUACUACUUUUGUGGCUCCAAAUCUCUUGAUGGCUCUAUGUCUGUUCUUUUUGUUGACAUGGAUUUUACCCUGAAAGUUUUUCUUCUGAUCUACAAUGUUCUGCCAUCUAAAUUUUUCUGUAUAUUAUGAAUGAGUAGACACUGGUGCAGAAGCCCAAUUGGAUGAAAUUACGGACUACAGAGAGGUGUAAUUAUUAAUUAAUUCAUUUCUUUAAAAGAUAUGCAACUAGCAGAGUUUCUUACUUCUAUGAUUUGGAUUAUGACCGAAUUGAAGAACUUAUGUGGACAGCCCGGCAGAUUUCAGUGGCAAGACUUUUGUACAAUUACAGUGGCAGAUUUCAGAAAUUUGUAGAGCACAUGAUUUACAAGAACAAGAUAUUCU
Triticum dicoccoides is the source of this 2121-nucleotide long non-coding RNA. RefSeq lists it as uncharacterized. The record is from RefSeq and is a predicted model, not a curated record. The transcript has 3 exons. NCBI's taxonomy places the organism in Eukaryota, Viridiplantae, Streptophyta, Magnoliopsida, Poales, Poaceae.